AUUGAACGCUGGCGGCAGGCCUAACACAUGCAAGUCGAACGAGUGGCGGACGGGUGAGUAAUGUCUGGGAAACUGCCCGAUGGAGGGGGAUAACUACUGGAAACGGUAGCUAAUACCGCAUACCAUCGGAUGUGCCCAUAUGGGAUUAGCUAGUUGGUGGGGUAACGGCUCACCUAGGCGACGAUCCCUAGCUGGUCUGAGAGGAUGACCAGCAAAACUGGAACUGAGACACGGUCCAGACUCCUACGGGAGGCAGCAGUGGGGAAUAUUGGACAAGGGGGGAAAGCCUGAUGCAGCCAUGCCGCGUGUGUGAAGAAGGCCUUCGGGUUGUAAAGUACUUUUAGCGAGAAGGCGGUACUUGCAGAAGAAGCACCGGCUAACUACGUGCCAGCAGCCGCGGUAAUAC
RNAcentral lists this ribosomal RNA (406 nucleotides) under uncultured bacterium. RNAcentral describes it as "partial 16S ribosomal RNA". It matches the Rfam family "Bacterial small subunit ribosomal RNA", at positions 30 to 526 of the family's 1533-position model. The record is from RNAcentral.